AAGAAAGAAAACCAAAUAUACCAAAAAUCCACAAACUAUAUGAAGUGCCCAAUGAGGAGAGCAAGCCAAAACCAUCAAUUUCGCAGAGCCUAAACAUGGUGAGGCCCACACUGGGCCACAGGAAUAUGCAAGAUAUUAGAUGCACAAACAGUAGGUACAUAAAUAUCAUUUACUGUCAAUUUAAAGUUGUGCUAUGUCGUCCCGGUAAGUAAAGCAGAAAAAUAUUUUGAAUUUUCUAAAACAAAGUUUUUUAAUUUAUCCCUAUGUUGUUUUUUUUUAAUAUUGAAAUUCAUUUUCAGCUGAGCAAGAAGAAAACAAUAAAACUUUGGACCGUAGUAAAGAAAAGUGUGCUGCAGAUGUGAACUAUAAAAUCUAGGAACUAUGACCGUUUUUCUGUUGGUAUAUCUAGUUGGACGCAGUAAUACCGUCUGGACCCGGUGCAGAAUUGUUCCUCAGGGAGGCAAUCACAUUAACAAUCUCAUUUUCUGUUACUGGACUAAGGUAGAUGGAGGCCUCAGUCGCAUGGAAUUUUGGUACCAGAUCUUUAUUGUGCGGUCCGAUUUUUUUAAUUAUCUGUUUGGCAACAGUUGUGAAAAAUGAAUUGAAUCCUUCUGCCUUAUCGCAAUCUGUUUUUAAUACAACAUUAUUAUCAAUUAUUUCACCUAUAAUACUUUUUUUUUUCUUCGUAAUUUUAUUUAUUUGAUUGAUUUCAUUUCAAAUUUUUUUUGUGUCAUUUGCAGCAAGUUUUAUUUUGUUAGCAUAGUAUGAAUUCUUAGUUUCUUUUAUCAACUUGUUCAAUUUAUUUCUGUCAGUUGUGAAAAGUUUCUUAUUUUCUGUCGUGGGACUUUUGAUAAAUUUCAUUUUUAAUU
Long non-coding RNA from Coccinella septempunctata (seven-spotted ladybird), 869 nucleotides. RefSeq lists it as uncharacterized. The record is from RefSeq and is a predicted model, not a curated record. NCBI's taxonomy places the organism in Eukaryota, Metazoa, Arthropoda, Insecta, Coleoptera, Coccinellidae. The transcript is spliced from 2 exons.